RNAcentral lists this ribosomal RNA (22 nucleotides) under Monosporascus cannonballus. RNAcentral's name for it is "partial 28S ribosomal RNA". The record is from RNAcentral. Lineage: Eukaryota; Fungi; Ascomycota; Sordariomycetes; Xylariales.
AAUGGUUGACCUCGGAUCAGGU